GACGAACGCUGGCGGCGUGCUUAACACAUGCAAGUCGAACGGAAAGGCCCUGCUUGCUUGGUGUUCUCGUGGGGCGAAGGUGGGUGUAACACGUGUGUAACGUGCUCUACACUUUGGUAUGACUUCAGGAAACUGGCGCUAAUCCCAUAUAGGAGACCCUCCCGCGGUGUGGGGGGGGGAACUUUUCGGCGGUUGGGGAUGGACGCGCGGCUUAUCAGCUUGUUGGUGGGGUUGUGGCUUACCAAGGCUGUGACGGGUAGCCGACCUGAGAGGGUGACCGGCCACACUGGGACUGAGAUACGGCCCAGACUCCUACGGGAGGCAGCAGUGGGGAAUAUUGCACAAUGGGCGCAAGCCUGAUGCAGCGACGCCGCGUGCGGGAUGACGGCCUUCGGGUUGUAAACCGCUUUCGCCUGUGACGAAGCGUGAGUGACGGUACCGGGUGAAGAAGCACCGGCUAACUACGUG
Molecule: ribosomal RNA, 468 nt
Filed under: uncultured bacterium
Lineage: Bacteria
Description: partial 16S ribosomal RNA
Rfam family: Bacterial small subunit ribosomal RNA
Source: RNAcentral